CUGAGAGGUUUUCUUCCAAUUUUAGGAUAGGAAAAUAGCAAUUUAUCGGGGGCAUGAGUGACUAUAUUACUACAACAAAACUGACAGGCCCGAGAGGCAACAGAACCCUAUUGUACCAGAAAUAGAAGUUAACUACAUAAGUUUCUUUAAUUGUUUUUUUGUUGCACUUGCAUUCUGUACAAGUUCAUAUAUAUUUAAAAUUUCUCUCAUUCAAUUUUAAAUCAAAAACUUGUCUCUUUAAAUUAGAAAUACUCUAUGUGCAGGUAUGGACAAUGUCUACAAUAGUGAAUUUGGCCUUGAUGCAAACGCUAGCAUUAUGAUAUACGUGCAGAGUUUUAUUAUUACUAUUAUCAUUAUUAUUAUUAUUUUAUCAUAACAAAUGUACAAUUUUUUUUACAAUUUACCCCUAACCAUAUGUGAAGUAUUAGCAGCCACAAUAUUAAUCAGCUAUCUUAAUCUGAAUAAUUUCCAUUCAGAGUAUAUUUUAAUACAUUGAAUAUACAUUGAAUGUUAUAAUAACUUAACAACUAAUCAACAGAUUAGUUGUUGAGAAGAACUCUUGAGGUCCAGAAA
Molecule: long non-coding RNA, 573 nt
Organism: Spea bombifrons (plains spadefoot toad)
Lineage: Eukaryota; Metazoa; Chordata; Amphibia; Anura; Pelobatidae
Exons: 2
Source: RefSeq, a predicted model, not a curated record